UACAUAAUAAUGAUAAAUGCUAUUAAAGUACAGUUCAGUACAUUACGCAUAUCCACAGUGUUGUACAACCAUCACUACUAUCCAUCUCUGAAACUUUUUAUCUUCCUUAACAAACUUUGUGCCCAUUAAACCCUAACCUUGGCCAGGUGUGGUGGUUCACGCCUGUAAUCCAGCACUUUGGGAGGCUGAGGCAGGCGGAUUGCUUGAGGUCAGGAGUUCGAGGCCAGCCUGGCCAACAUGGUGAAAGCCCGUCUUCACUAAAAAUACAAAAUUUAGCCAGGAGUGGUGGCACAUGCCUGUAAUCCCAGCUACUCAGGAGGAAGAGGCAGGAGGAUCACUCGAACCCGGGAGGCAGAAGUUGCAGUGAGCUGAGCCCACAGUAAGUUUGUCAAACGGGUCAAAGUUGUCUGCAGCUCCACUUAGCCUAGAAUCCAGUCAUGCCACUGCACUCCAGCCUGGGCGACAGAGCGAGACUCCAUCUCAAAAAAGGAAAAAAAAAAAAAAAAAAAAACGCUAACUUCCCAUUUCCUUUCUCCCACCAGCUCCUGGUACUCGCCAUUGUACUUUCUGUCUCUGUAAAUCUGACUAGUUUAGGUACCUCAUAUAAGUGAAAUCAUAUUAAUACAAUAGUCGUCCUGCGUCUGCUUUAUUUUAUUCAGCAUAAUGUUUUCAAGAUGAAUAUCAAAUAUUUUUUAUAAAAAGUAUACAUUUUACAUGCAAAAUUUAUUAAGUUUAACACUGCAAUCAAAUGGCAAAGACAUCAUCAAAAACAUGUACGAAGCAAGCACCUUUUGCUGGCAUCACUUCAUUGGAUCCUCACAGCUGCUCUGUGAGAUGGGCUUUACAGAUGAAAGAAUAGAGCCCAGGGAAGAUAAGUGACUUACCCAAGGACAUGCAGCUUGUAAACCAACAAGCAAACAUGCACAUUCAGGUCUUCUAAUUUCCAGUCCUUUUUAAUUUACAGGAUCAGCUGCCUCCCAUCCCAUUUAUAAGGAUGGUCAAAACAAAAAGAUACCAAUGUUGGACAGCAAGUCAGGGAAGGAGCUAGAACUUGAUAAACUAGCUUUUGUAAGUGAUAACGGGAGGGAAGUGCUGGGAAGGGCGUGGUCCCUUUAAAUAACAGGAAAGGAGGGAAAGGAAGUGCUGGGUAGAGGAGGGCGUGGUCCCUGGCGAGGGCUCCACCCCCAAACCCGUGCCCACGGGUCUAAGUGAGGACAGGCAGACACACAAGCAGCUGGACGUGGAGAGGAACACAUCGCAGAAGACACAAGCAGCUGGACAGCGAGAGGAUGUGGAUGGGAGCACGCCAGAGGAAGAGCACACGACAGAUCCCAGCAUGCCGACAGGCCACGACUGGCGGAAGGAGGAACAGUUGGCGGAGUUUGGCCGGGGCAAUCAGAGGAGAGCCCAGGCAGUCUAGCGGCCCAACUCCAGGGGAAAACCAUCUCCCUUCUGGCUCCCCCAUCUGCUGAGAGCUACUUCUACUCAGUAAAACCUUGCACUCGUUCUUCAAGCCCAGGUGUGAUCCGAUUCUCCUGGUACACCAAGGCAAGAACCCAGGGAUACAGAAAGCCCUCUGUCCUUGCAAUAAGGCAGGGGUCUAAUUGAGCUAACACAAGCUAACUAUGGACAGCUAAACUAAAAGAGCACGUGGUAACACAUGCCCACUGGGGCUUCAGCUGCAAACAUUCACCCCUAGACAUUGCUGUGGGGUCGGAGCCCCACAGCCUGCCCAUCUGUAUGCUCCCCUAGAUUUGAGCAGUGGGGCACUGAAGAAGCCAGCCACAUCCCCAUUCCACACCCUGCAAGGGGGACAAGGGAACAUUUCCCGUUUCACUGAGAAGGGCAUUCCAGGCUGGUAACCAUCUGUGACCUGGGUGCAGAGAUGAGCUUGGUAGGGGCUGCACAAGGAAGAAAGAAGCAGGAUGUGGAUAGGAACUGUGAAUAUCCUAAUCUGAUUUAAAAAGGACUCUUAGAAGAAUCUUUCCUUUCAUUCCAACCUAUAAUGGAUUAUCUUAAACAAGGACCUUUGUUCUUUUUUUCCCUGCCUCAUGAGAAUAUACAGAUAAAUAGAAUUUCAGCCAAACACUACAUGUGCCCUGAGAGCUUCCUAGUUGGCAUCUGCUGCAUUUGUCUUUUCCCACUGCAGCCUGGACUGGUGCAGGAUGUGGAAGGGAUGAGGUAUUGCUUAACACACAUUAGAGACAAAAUCCUUGACAAAAAUAAAGUACUAAAGUGAAUUUGAUUCAUUUACUUGAUAACCCAUACUAUAGACUACCUUUGCCCUUAAGAUUGAUUUCUGCAGACCAGAGAAUUUUUUUAUUGCCUCAGCUAUUAAUGCCAGCCCAACCACAAUUUUCUAGAAUUUCUUUCAUUUCUUUCUGAAAAGCACACACAUCUUUAUUUCAUAUUGCAUCACUUCUUUAGAAGAAAACAUGAUUUUGCUCAUUGUUUUUGGCAACAUUGCUAAAGAUAUAAAAGCAUUUAAUUUAACAAUAAUUACUAUCAAAAGAAAUAACUUUUGAAAAACUUCCCAGAGUGUUUAUUACAGAAACAAAAAGAAAAACUGAGAGGAGUGAAGACUAGGCAUUUGCAAUUUGUGGAUACCAACCACCCAUAAGCAGAAGAAGAAUAAUUUGGUUCUAAUCAAAAGAUUUGGUCUAUUUGGGGCCAGGUGCAAUGGCUUAUUCGGGGAACUCUGUAUGUAAGUUGGCAAAGACCAAAAUAGUGCCAACAUAUGAAGCACUGAAAAAGAAAAAGUUAAAAUAUCUUAGCCUCAACACUCGAAAUAUAGCAAGCCCACAUAUUUGAAGACCAAACACAUCAAGACUCAUCUUUCCCUUAAAAGAAUUUUCAGCUGGGCACAGUGGCUCGUGCCUGUAAUCCCAGCACUUUGGGAGGCUGAGGCGGGUGGAUUACUUUAGACCAGGAGUUUGGGACCAGCCUGGCCAAAAUGUGAAACCCCCGUCUCUACUAAAAAUAUAAAAAUUAGCCGAGACUGGUGGUGCACACCUGUAGUCCCAGCUAUUCAGGAGACUGAGACAAGACUCGCUUGAACCCAGGAGGUGGAGGCUGCAGUGAGCCAACAUUGCACCACUGCACUCCAGCCUAGACAACAGAGUGAGACUUUGUCACAAAAAAAAAAAAGAGAGAAUUUUUCUUUGUCAGAUGUAGAAUAUAACUUAAGAGAAAUUUAUUAACAUUUAAGCUCCUUAGUAUAGAAAACUGGAGGAAAAUAACUUUAGUACACACUUAAUUUGCUAUACUAAAUUUUUUUAAUAAAGACCUUCAAAAGGAAAAUUUAGAUUAUAAGUAGCAUGGCACAUAUAGAAUAUGAACACAGAAAGUUCAUAUCUAAGCCCUAAGCCACUUAUGAUAAACACCUAUAAAAGGAACAAAAACUAAACUUCCACAUUAUUUUACCCAGUAAAAGAUGUAGGCUAUUAGUAGAAAGUUGGUUAAGUAAAUUCAAAAAAUAAAAAUAUAAAAAAGAAAUAAUGAGAAAAUUUUUGAAAAAUAUUAAUAAAAUAAAGAUGUAGGCUACAUAGCUGAGGCUAUUAUUCACACCAUAUAGAAAUUAGGUUCUCGGGCCAAGCAGAAACUAUAACAUAAUCAGAAAGAAUACCUAAAGAAAUAAAGUAUGACUUCCUAAAUUUUUUAUUUUAAAAAUGCCCAGUUUAUUUAUUUGCUUUGCCUAAGAUAGCUGCAUUCAUUAUUACAGGGUCAGGGGACUUGUAAAAACAAAUAUCAAUUAUUAUAAAUAAUCACAGAAAACAAAUAAACUGGAAAAUAAACAGCGGUUACUAAUUUAAGGUUUUAACCCUUACCCCAACCACCCAAAAAAAGUAGCCAUUUUUAAAAUAAAGAUUAAGAGUUGGUGGAAUUUAAGGGAAAUGCCAUCCGGUAAUGUUACCUAAAUACUAGAAAGGAAUCAGCACAAGGAAACAGGAACAAAGCAGUGCAGUACUUCGGUAUUACAGCGCCACCCACUGGCUAGAAGUCCUCAUAGCACAUAUGAGAUGUAGCCAUAAAAUAGAUGAAUUCUUGAAAUAAGGAAUAUAACACUGACUAUUCUGAUUCAGUAGAACAUAAAAAAUGUCUAACAAAACAGAACCAGACACAUUAUAUUAUUUCUACAAGUAAACAGAAUAUCUAUUAGAUAUGUUCACAAGGGUUUUAUCAAUUUUGAAAUCCAAGUGUAUAAUCCCCAAAUGCUGUAAGGACUUAAAUUUUAUAGCCAAAACAAUUAACACAUAAAAUGCUAUUUCAUCUCUGUAGCUGAAUACAUAAAUAGUAUCUUUAAGUAAAAGAUGCAUACUUGCAUUUCAUUGCUAAGCAAUUCAUAAUAUAUUUAAAUGCUGGUAAAACCUACAAUGGCAUCUGCUUCACUUCUACCUUUACUAGAGAAGUAACAAAAUACACUGAGCAAAGGAUAUGUCCAAAAAACUAAACUGAAAAACAGUUUCUAAAUAAAGUCCACAGACCAUUCAGAUAAACUAGUAAAAAUAGUUUUUCUUUAAAGUACCACAGCACCUUUGUAGUUCAAAAUAUAUUUACCAUAGGCUGGGCGUGGUGGCUCACGCCUGUAAUCCCAGCACUUUGGGAAGCUGAGGCAGGCAGAUCACAAGGUCAGGAGAUCGAGACCAUCCUGUGAAUGGUGAAACCCUGUCUCUACUAAAAAUAUAAAAAAAAUUAGCCCGGCAUGGUGGCGGGCACCUGUAGUCCCAGCUACUCAGGAGGCUGAGGCAGGAGAAUGGUGUGAACCCA
Molecule: long non-coding RNA, 4767 nt
Filed under: Homo sapiens (human)
Lineage: Eukaryota; Metazoa; Chordata; Mammalia; Primates; Hominidae
Description: HSALNT0011393
Source: RNAcentral